GGACUACUGGGGUUUCUAAUCCGUUUUGCUCCCCACGCUUUCGUGCCUCAAUGUCAGUAGCAGAAUAGUUAACUGCCUUCGCCGUUAUUGGUGUUCUUCCAUAUAUCUACACAUUUUACCGUUCCACAUGGAGUUCCGUUAACCUCUCCUGCACUCGAGCCGGACAGUAUUACCAGUUUCCACGAGGUUAGGCCUCGAUUUGCCACUGCCAACUUGCCCGGCCAUCUACGCACCCUUUACGCCCAAUAAUUCCGGAUAACGUUCGCCACCUACGUCUUACCGCGGCUGCUGGCAC
Molecule: ribosomal RNA, 295 nt
Filed under: uncultured bacterium
Lineage: Bacteria
Description: partial 16S ribosomal RNA
Source: RNAcentral